This 339-nucleotide long non-coding RNA is filed under the name Hordeum vulgare. RNAcentral describes it as "long non-coding RNA (HVUL_LNC021208)". Lineage: Eukaryota; Viridiplantae; Streptophyta; Magnoliopsida; Poales; Poaceae. The record is from RNAcentral.
GUUAAUGCUGUGUGGAUGCUGUCGACCACCCUCCUCCCUUCUCUUUCUGCGCGCGCACCGCGCAUUCAUGUUAGUACGAUCGAUAUAACCACCGGGGUACCAGAUGAGAAGACGACCGCGUGUGGUUCAGUUCAGUCGCCCACCCUACAAUGCCGGCCGAUGACUGACAGUAAUAUAUAUGUGAUGUAAUGCAAAAUUUUAUUUGUUAGCUUGUAGAUUUAUCGUGUCUUGAAUUGUGCAAUGUUACUCAUAGCGUGAGUACCUAACUAUGUUCCUCAAUUCAUCGCUCUCCUCAUUAAAUAAUUGUCACCUAAGCAAAUUUAUUGAGUUGGACCUUAG